CACGUAGUUAGCCGUGGCUUUCUGAUUAGGUGCCGUCAAGACGUGCACAGUUACUUACACAUUUGUUCUUCCCUAAUAACAGAGUUUUACGAUCCGAAGACCUUCAUCACUCACGCGGCGUUGCUCCGUCAGGCUUUCGCCCAUUGCGGAAGAUUCCCUACUGCUGCCUCCCGUAGGAGUCUGGACCGUGUCUCAGUUCCAGUGUGGCCGAUCACCCUCUCAGGUCGGCUACGUAUCGUUGCCUUGGUAAGCCGUUACCUUACCAACUAGCUAAUACGGCGCGGGUCCAUCUAUAAGUGAUAGCAAAACCAUCUUUCACUUUAGAACCAUGCGGUUCUAAAUGUUAUCCGGCAUUAGCCCCGGUUUCCCGGAGUUAUUCCAGUCUUAUAGGUAGGUUACCCACGUGUUACUCACCCGUCCGCCGCUAACGUCAAAGGAGCAAGCUCCUUAUCUGUUCGCUCGACUUGCAUGUAUUAGGCACGCCGCCAGCGUUCAUCCUGAGCCAGGAUCAAACUCU
This 517-nucleotide ribosomal RNA is filed under the name uncultured Staphylococcus sp. RNAcentral describes it as "partial 16S ribosomal RNA". Lineage: Bacteria; Bacillati; Bacillota; Bacilli; Caryophanales; Staphylococcaceae. The record is from RNAcentral.